This 464-nucleotide ribosomal RNA is filed under the name uncultured bacterium. RNAcentral's name for it is "bacterial SSU rRNA". It matches the Rfam family "Bacterial small subunit ribosomal RNA", at positions 917 to 1382 of the family's 1533-position model. The record is from RNAcentral.
GGGCCCGCACAAGCGGCGGAGCAUGCGGAUUAAUUCGAUGCAACGCGAAGAACCUUACCAAGGCUUGACAUACACCGGAAAGAUGCAGAGAUGUGUCCCCCGCAAGGUCGGUGUACAGGUGGUGCAUGGUUGUCGUCAGCUCGUGUCGUGAGAUGUUGGGUUAAGUCCCGCAACGAGCGCAACCCUCGUCCUAUGUUGCCAGCACGUAAUGGUGGGGACUCAUAGGAGACUGCCGGGGUCAACUCGGAGGAAGGUGGGGAUGACGUCAAAUCAUCAUGCCCCUUAUGUCUUGGGCUUCACGCAUGCUACAAUGGCCGGUACAAAGGGCUGCGAUACCGCAAGGUGGAGCGAAUCCCAAAAAGCCGGUCUCAGUUCGGAUUGGGGUCUGCAACUCGACCCCAUGAAGUCGGAGUCGCUAGUAAUCGCAGAUCAGCAACGCUGCGGUGAAUACGUUCUCGGGCCUU